UGGGGAAUUUUGGACAAUGGGGGCAACCCUGAUCCAGCCAUGCCGCGUGAGUGAAGAAGGCCUUCGGGUUGUAAAGCUCUUUCAGCCGGGAAGAAAACGCACUCUCUAACAUAGGGUGUGGAUGACGGUACCGGAAGAAGAAGCACCGGCUAACUACGUGCCAGCAGCCGCGGUAAUACGUAGGGUGCGAGCGUUAAUCGGAAUUACUGGGCGUAAAGGGUGCGCAGGCGGUUUUGUAAGACAGAUGUGAAAUCCCCGGGCUUAACCUGGGAACUGCGUUUGUGACUGCAAGGCUAGAGUACGGCAGAGGGGGGUGGAAUUCCGCGUGUAGCAGUGAAAUGCGUAGAUAUGCGGAGGAACACCGAUGGCGAAGGCAACCCCCUGGGCCUGUACUGACGCUCAUGCACGAAAGCGUGGGGAGCAAACAGG
Molecule: ribosomal RNA, 429 nt
Filed under: uncultured Thauera sp.
Lineage: Bacteria; Pseudomonadati; Pseudomonadota; Betaproteobacteria; Rhodocyclales; Zoogloeaceae
Description: bacterial SSU rRNA
Rfam family: Bacterial small subunit ribosomal RNA
Source: RNAcentral